GUAACAACACAAAGUGAUAUAUUGAAUCAGUUUUAUGCUCUGAGCAUUUCCAGACUACUUGUUAUCUAGAUUCGGCUCAUGAAAAUGUUGUAAAGGCGUCGUGCAAGGCGUCGUGCCCCCCCCCCACGGAGCACUGCAAUGGACUGAUCCACUUUCCUGAACGACGCCAAUUACUGCGCGAGCGGCGCGUAAAAAUAACUCAAACUCUCAGAAGCUUUACUCCCGCCAUUUUAACUCAUUUAUAAGGAAAUUCCAGUUUUUAAAAUACACUUCUGAAGGAUCUGGGAUUGGAAAGUGUGUUGAUAAUGGGCUGGGUUGGGGAUGCGGACCUGAAAGGGAACAGGCACGUCGCUGCGUCAAGGUGUGUUUUCUGGAAUUUUCCACUGCGCCUGUCCUGAGAGAGAAAAAAAGUCUGACGUGAAAUAAAUCAGCUGCAGCUGAAAGAAAUCUCAACGUGCACCUGAGUAAAUCUGACUCUGACGUCUGAGAUACAGCACGGCGCCGUGUCAUCAUGUUAGCUACUCUUAAAGGGAAAGACGGUGAUGACCAUGGUCCUCGGUAUUUUUAUCCUGACCUCGGGUUCCCCUCUGUGUGGAGUUUCACAUGUUGUCCUCGUUUUUUCCGGGUUCUCUGGUUUCCUCCCACCUCCCAAAAACAUGCCGACGUUUUGCAGAUUGCUGAGCCUUUACCAGGUGUGCCAUUAGAUGAAGGAAUAAAACAACCCCUACGACGAGAUUGAAAAGGAGCAGUUAUUUCAUUUGGCGCAGCAGGUAAAAAAAAAUCAAAUUCACUUUGCUGUGAAGGUAAAUAAAUCAGCAAUUUCAUUGCGUGGAGUUCCGCCCGACUGCUUUAAUGAAGUCAUCAGGGCAAACGAAGUGCUCAUUUAUCCUAAUGGGCGAAAUGGGUUAGGAGGCGGAAAUGUUCUGUGUUCAUCCUAGCAUCUCUCCAGGCACACGGACCUUAAUCAAGAGAACUAAAAGGCAGGAACGGCUCUAUUAAUUGUGCCUGUGUUAGCGAGGUCUUCCGAAA
Molecule: long non-coding RNA, 1029 nt
Organism: Pangasianodon hypophthalmus (striped catfish)
Lineage: Eukaryota; Metazoa; Chordata; Actinopteri; Siluriformes; Pangasiidae
Exons: 4
Source: RefSeq, a predicted model, not a curated record